This is a long non-coding RNA of Hippocampus comes (tiger tail seahorse), 341 nucleotides long. RefSeq lists it as uncharacterized. The transcript is spliced from 3 exons. The record is from RefSeq and is a predicted model, not a curated record. Lineage: Eukaryota; Metazoa; Chordata; Actinopteri; Syngnathiformes; Syngnathidae.
CACCACCAGGAAACGACGCCACAAGGUGGGUUGGACGGGAAGUGAGCCCCCGAAUAAACGCUCCGACGGGAAACUGGCGAUGGACAACGUUCCGACAGCACACGUGACAAGCACGAGAGGGCGACAUCGUGUCCCGCCCCGCCUAAUCCAAUCUGCGAGACGUCCCACGAUUCAGAGCAGGACACGCCUCGCUGCAAUAUGAUUGGCUGUUGUAUGAGGAAGUAACUGGAAGAACUGGGAGUCAUUUCUGUUGAAGUGGUACGUUCGUGGCCGCAUCCGUGAUGACGAAUGGGUUUUGUGUGGAGGUGAGGAUGGCGGGGCCGAGGCUGAAGGCGCCCUGG